RNAcentral lists this ribosomal RNA (109 nucleotides) under Danio rerio (zebrafish). Lineage: Eukaryota; Metazoa; Chordata; Actinopteri; Cypriniformes; Danionidae. The record is from RNAcentral.
GGCAGCUAGCUCUCUGCAGCUCUCACAUUGUCGCCCAAAAAAGCUAAGCAGGGCUGCGCCUGGUCAGUACCUGGAUGGGAGACCACAUGGGAAAGUUAGGUUGCUGAUG